Molecule: long non-coding RNA, 153 nt
Organism: Paramormyrops kingsleyae
Lineage: Eukaryota; Metazoa; Chordata; Actinopteri; Osteoglossiformes; Mormyridae
Source: RefSeq, a predicted model, not a curated record
AAUCUCAUGGCAGGCAUGAGCGCAUGUGGUUGUAGUAUUCAGGUCAAGCUUUAUUAUUUGCACAUGAACGGGGUGUUUGCGCAUGGUUUUCAUAUCGCUGCCACACCGCCACGAAAUGUAUUUCUGGAUUCAUGCCUGAUGCGCACGGGGCGC